RNAcentral lists this ribosomal RNA (647 nucleotides) under Mycolicibacterium fortuitum. Its description in RNAcentral is "bacterial SSU rRNA". It matches the Rfam family "Bacterial small subunit ribosomal RNA", at positions 74 to 737 of the family's 1533-position model. Lineage: Bacteria; Bacillati; Actinomycetota; Actinomycetes; Mycobacteriales; Mycobacteriaceae. The record is from RNAcentral.
GGCCCUUCGGGGUACUCGAGUGGCGAACGGGUGAGUAACACGUGGGUGAUCUGCCCUGCACUUUGGGAUAAGCCUGGGAAACUGGGUCUAAUACCGAAUAUGACCACGCGCUUCAUGGUGUGUGGUGGAAAGCUUUUGCGGUGUGGGAUGGGCCCGCGGCCUAUCAGCUUGUUGGUGGGGUAAUGGCCUACCAAGGCGACGACGGGUAGCCGGCCUGAGAGGGUGACCGGCCACACUGGGACUGAGAUACGGCCCAGACUCCUACGGGAGGCAGCAGUGGGGAAUAUUGCACAAUGGGCGCAAGCCUGAUGCAGCGACGCCGCGUGAGGGAUGACGGCCUUCGGGUUGUAAACCUCUUUCAAUAGGGACGAAGCGCAAGUGACGGUACCUAUAGAAGAAGGACCGGCCAACUACGUGCCAGCAGCCGCGGUAAUACGUAGGGUCCGAGCGUUGUCCGGAAUUACUGGGCGUAAAGAGCUCGUAGGUGGUUUGUCGCGUUGUUCGUGAAAACUCACAGCUUAACUGUGGGCGUGCGGGCGAUACGGGCAGACUAGAGUACUGCAGGGGAGACUGGAAUUCCUGGUGUAGCGGUGGAAUGCGCAGAUAUCAGGAGGAACACCGGUGGCGAAGGCGGGUCUCUGGGCAGU